Molecule: ribosomal RNA, 544 nt
Filed under: uncultured bacterium
Lineage: Bacteria
Description: bacterial SSU rRNA
Rfam family: Bacterial small subunit ribosomal RNA
Source: RNAcentral
AGUCAAUAGAUACCCUGGUAGUCCAUGCCGUAAACGAUGAUUGCUAGGUGUGGGGGGGUCUGACCCCUUCCGUGCCGGAGUUAAACACAAUAAGCAAUCCACCUGGGGAGUACGGCCGCAAGGUUGAAACUCAAAGGAAUUGACGGGGGCCCGCACAAGCAGUGGAGUAUGUGGUUUAAAUUCGAAGCAACGCGAAGAACCUUACCAGGUCUUGACAUCCACCGAAUCCUGUAGAGAUACGGGAGUGCCCUUCGGGGAACGGUGAGACAGGUGGUGCAUGGUUGUCGUCAGCUCGUGUCGUGAGAUGUUGGGUUAAGUCCCGCAACGAGCGCAACCCUUGUGAAUAGUUGCUACGAAAGAGCACUCUAUUCAGACCGCCGUUGACAAAACGGAGGAAGGUGGGGAUGACGUCAAAUCAUCAUGCCCCUUAUGACCUGGGCUACACACGUACUACAAUGGCCGUUAACAGAGGGAUGCAAUGCCGCGAGGUGGAGCGACCCCUAAAAACGGUCUCAGUUCAGAUUGCAGGCUGAAACUCGCCUGC